AUACGGAGGAUCCGAGCGUUAUCCGGAUUUAUUGGGUUUAAAGGGAGCGUAGGCGGACGCUUAAGUCAGUUGUGAAAGUUUGCGGCUCAACCGUAAAAUUGCAGUUGAUACUGGGUGUCUUGAGUACAGUAGAGGCAGGCGGAAUUCGUGGUGUAGCGGUGAAAUGCUUAGAUAUCACGAAGAACUCCGAUUGCGAAGGCAGCUUGCUGGACUGUAACUGACGCUGAUGCUCGAAAGUGUGGGUAUCAAACAGGAUUAGAUACCCUGGUAGUCCACACAGUAAACGAUGAAUACUCGCUGUUUGCGAUAUACAGUAAGCGGCCAAGCGAAAGCGUUAAGUAUUCCACCUGGGGAGUACGCCGGCAACGGUGAAACUCAAAGGAAUUGACGGGGGCCCGCACAAGCGGAGGAACAUGUGGUUUAAUUCGAUGAUACGCGAGGAACCUUACCCGGGCUUGAAUUGCAACUGAAUGAUGUGGAGACAUGUCAGCCGCAAGGCAGUUGUGAAGGUGCUGCAUGGUUGUCGUCAGCUCGUGCCGUGAGGUGUCGGCUUAAGUGCCAUAACGAGCGCAACCCUUAUCGAUAGUUACCAUCAGGUUAUGCUGGGGACUCUGUCGAGACUGCCGUCGUAAGAUGUGAGGAAGGUGGGGAUGACGUCAAAUCAGCACGGCCCUUACGUCCGGGGCUACACACGUGUUACAAUGGGGGGUACAGAAGGCAGCUACACGGCGACGUGAUGCUAAUCCCGAAAGCCUCUCUCAGUUCGGAUUGGAGUCUGCAACCCGACUCCAUGAAGCUGGAUUCGCUAGUAAUCGCGCAUCAGCCACGGCGCGGUGAAUACGUUCCCGGGCCUUGUACACACCGCCCGUCAAGCCAUGAGAGCCGGGGGUACCUGAAGUGCGUAACCGCGAGGAGCGCCCUAGGGUAAAACUGGUGACUGGGGCU
RNAcentral lists this ribosomal RNA (945 nucleotides) under uncultured bacterium. RNAcentral describes it as "bacterial SSU rRNA". It matches the Rfam family "Bacterial small subunit ribosomal RNA", at positions 523 to 1482 of the family's 1533-position model. The record is from RNAcentral.